CAGCCGCCACGGGAAUACGUAGGUGGCAAGCGUUGUCCGGAAUUAUUGGGCGUAAAGGGCUCGCAGGCGGUUUCUUAAGUCUGAUGUGAAAGCCCCCGGCUCAACCGGGGAGGGUCAUUGGAAACUGGGAAACUUGAGUGCAGAAGAGGAGAGUGGAAUCCCACGUGUAGCGGUGAAAUGCGUAGAGAUGUGGAGGAACACCAGUGGCGAAGGCGACUCUCUGGUCUGUAACUGACGCUGAGGAGCGAAAGCGUGGGGAGCGAACAGGAUUAGAUACCCGCGUAGUCCCUGUCUCUUAUAC
This 301-nucleotide ribosomal RNA is filed under the name uncultured bacterium. Its description in RNAcentral is "partial 16S ribosomal RNA". It matches the Rfam family "Bacterial small subunit ribosomal RNA", at positions 509 to 807 of the family's 1533-position model. The record is from RNAcentral.